This 157-nucleotide long non-coding RNA is filed under the name Dasypus novemcinctus (nine-banded armadillo). RNAcentral's name for it is "lncRNA (ENSDNOG00000050969.1)". Lineage: Eukaryota; Metazoa; Chordata; Mammalia; Cingulata; Dasypodidae. The record is from RNAcentral.
AUCUAUAUUCAAUUAUUUGUUCUUAUCUCUGUCUUGCAAUUUGGAAAAAUGGAUAAUUGAUUACUGGAUCUAAUGUUAACCUAACUUUUGGGCAGUUCCAUUUGCCGAUUAAAACAACAUCUCGAAGCUGUUGGUGCACAAAUUGCUGGUCCUGGAA